Octodon degus (degu) is the source of this 119-nucleotide long non-coding RNA. RefSeq lists it as uncharacterized. The transcript is spliced from 3 exons. The record is from RefSeq and is a predicted model, not a curated record. NCBI's taxonomy places the organism in Eukaryota, Metazoa, Chordata, Mammalia, Rodentia, Octodontidae.
UUAAUAUGUCUCUAUAGACAAAGUCUGGUGGAUCCCAGUUAAAGGAAUCUUAACCUAGCAUAUUCACUAUAGGUUUUACCUAUAUGAUUACCUGGGUUUUGGUAUCUUCUAAGAAAGAA